GGGCCCGUAGCUUAGCCUGGUAGAGCGUCCGGCUGAUAACCGGAAGGCCGUGGGUUCAAAUCCCACCGGGCCCA
Molecule: transfer RNA, 74 nt
Organism: Sulfolobus acidocaldarius DSM 639
Lineage: Archaea; Thermoproteati; Thermoproteota; Thermoprotei; Sulfolobales; Sulfolobaceae
Rfam family: tRNA
About the family: Transfer RNA (tRNA) molecules are approximately 80 nucleotides in length. Their secondary structure includes four short double-helical elements and three loops (D, anti-codon, and T loops). Further hydrogen bonds mediate the characteristic L-shaped molecular structure. tRNAs have two regions of fundamental functional importance: the anti-codon, which is responsible for specific mRNA codon recognition, and the 3' end, to which the tRNAs corresponding amino acid is attached (by aminoacyl-tRNA synthetases). tRNAs cope with the degeneracy of the genetic code in two manners: having more than one tRNA (with a specific anti-codon) for a particular amino acid; and 'wobble' base-pairing, i.e. permitting non-standard base-pairing at the 3rd anti-codon position.
Source: Rfam